CGCCUCUUGUCUCCAUAAGAGGUCCAGCCUGCCCAGUGACCUAGUUCAACGGCCGCGGUAUAUUAACCGUGCGAAGGUAGCGUAAUCACUUGUCUUAUAAAUAAAGACUAGUAUGAAAGGCACCACGAGAACUAAACUGUCUCCUUUUUCCAAUCCGUGAACCUAAUAUUUCCGUGAAGAAGCGGAAAUUUCUUAAUAAGACGAGAAGACCCUGUGGAGCUUUAAACAUCAUAAUCAAUGCUAAUAAUUAAACUACCCAGGUAUUCUUACUCCUAACGCAACAUGAUUAUAUGUUUUUGGUUGGGGCGACUGCGGAGAAAACCCACCCUCCGCGAUGAAAGGACCCACCUAAACAAUAAGCCACAGCUUUAUGUAUCAACAAAUUGACACUAUUGACCCAAUAUAUUGAUUAACGAACCAAGUUACCCUAGGGAUAACAGCGCAAUCCACUUCAAGAGCUCCUAUCGACAAGUGGGCUUACGACCUCGAUGUUGGAUCAGGGUAUCCUAGUGGUGCAGCAGCUACUAAAGGCUCGUUUGUUCAACGAUUAAAACCCC
RNAcentral lists this ribosomal RNA (557 nucleotides) under Pristimantis achatinus (Cachabi robber frog). Its description in RNAcentral is "partial 16S ribosomal RNA". It matches the Rfam family "Bacterial large subunit ribosomal RNA", at positions 1829 to 2597 of the family's 2925-position model. Lineage: Eukaryota; Metazoa; Chordata; Amphibia; Anura; Strabomantidae. The record is from RNAcentral.